CAGCACCUCAAGUGAUCAGGAUGAUUAUUGGGCCUAAAGCAUCCGUAGCCGGCGCUGUAAGUUUUCGGUUAAAUCUGUACGCUCAACGUACAGGCUGCCGGGAAUACUGCAGCGCUAGGGAGUGGGAGAGGUAGACGGUACUCGGUAGGAAGGGGUAAAAUCCUUUGAUCUAUUGGUGACCACCUGUGGCGAAGGCGGUCUACCAGAACACGUCCGACGGUGAGGGAUGAAAGCUGGGGGAGCAAACCGGAUUAGAUACCCGAGUAGUCC
This 270-nucleotide ribosomal RNA is filed under the name uncultured archaeon. RNAcentral describes it as "partial 16S ribosomal RNA". It matches the Rfam family "Archaeal small subunit ribosomal RNA", at positions 477 to 747 of the family's 1478-position model. The record is from RNAcentral.